UAGCGGCAGGCUUAAUACAUGCAAGGCGAAGGGGCAGCAAUGUCACUGUCGUACGGGUGCGUAACGCGUAUGCAACCUACCUAUCACUGGGGGAUAGCCCGGGGAAACCCGGAUUAAUACCGCAUAAAACAGGGGCACCGCAUGGUGAUAUUUGUUAAAGAUUUAUUGGUGAUAGAUGGGCAUGCGUUCGAUUAGCUAGUUGGCGGGGUAACGGCCCACCAAGGCGACGAUCGAUAGGGGAGCUGAGAGGUUGAUCCCCCACACGGGCACUGAGAUACGGGCCCGACUCCUACGGGAGGCAGCAGUAGGGAAUAUUGGGCAAUGGAUGCAAGUCUGACCCAGCCAUGCCGCGUGCCGGAUGAAGGCCCUCAGGGUUGUAAACGGCUUUUAUUCGGGAAGAAGAGCAGGGAUGCGUCCUUGUGUGACGGUACCGAAUGAAUAAGCACCGGCUAACUCCGUGCCAGCAGCCGCGGUAAUACGGAGGGUGCGAGCGUUGUCCGGAUUUAUUGGGUUUAAAGGGUGCGUAGGUGGCCUUAUAAGUCAGUGGUGAAAUACGGUUGCUCAACAAUCGAGGUGCCAUUGAUACUGUGGGGCUUGAAAUAAUUGGAGGCUGCCGGAAUGGAUGGUGUAGCGGUGAAAUGCAUAGAUAUCAUCCAGAACACCGAUUGCGAAGGCAGGUGGCUACGAUUGGUUUGACACUGAGGCACGAAAGCAUGGGGAGCAAACAGGAUUAGAUACCCUGGUAGUCCAUGCUGUAAACGAUGAGGACUCGUUGUUUGGCUGCAAGGCUGAGCGACUUAGGGAA
RNAcentral lists this ribosomal RNA (805 nucleotides) under bacterium RSB-3-8. RNAcentral's name for it is "bacterial SSU rRNA". It matches the Rfam family "Bacterial small subunit ribosomal RNA", at positions 37 to 855 of the family's 1533-position model. The record is from RNAcentral.